GUGAGGAAUAUUGCGCAAUGGAGGCAACUCUGACUCAGCCAUGCCGCGUGCAGGAAGAAGGCGCUACGCGUUGUAAACUGCUUUUAACCGGGAAGAAACCCCAGGACGUGUCCUGGGUUGACGGUACCGGAGGAAUAAGCACCGGCUAACUUCGUGCCAGCAGCCGCGGUAAUACGAAGGGUGCAAGCGUUAUCCGGAUUCAUUGGGUUUAAAGGGUGCGUAGGCGGAGCGUUAAGUCAGUGGUGAAAUCCUGCAGCUUAACUGUAGACUUGCCAUUGAUACUGGCGCUCUUGAGUGCGCUUGAAGUGGGCGGAAUGUGCCGUGUAGCGGUGAAAUGCUUAGAUAUGGCACAGAACACCAAUUGCGAAGGCAGCUCACUAAGGCGAUACUGACGCUGAGGCACGAAAGCGUGGGGAUCGAACAGGAUUAGAAACCCCGGUAGUCC
This 445-nucleotide ribosomal RNA is filed under the name uncultured bacterium. RNAcentral's name for it is "partial 16S ribosomal RNA". It matches the Rfam family "Bacterial small subunit ribosomal RNA", at positions 354 to 796 of the family's 1533-position model. The record is from RNAcentral.